This 282-nucleotide small RNA is filed under the name Marmota monax (woodchuck). The record is from RNAcentral. Lineage: Eukaryota; Metazoa; Chordata; Mammalia; Rodentia; Sciuridae.
CAAUUCAUACGUUAGUUGAGGAACAACUUCAGGCUGGUCAUACAGAACCAACACUUAGUCCUUGGAACACCCCCAUUUUUGUUAUCAAGAAAAAGGUAAUUUGAGGUUACUACAGGAUUUAAGGGCAAUAAAUCAUGUGAUUCAGCCUAUGGGAUCAUUACAGCCAGGACUUCUUUCCCCCACAGCCAUCCCUUUAAACUAUAGCUUGGUGAUAAUAGAUCUAAAAGAUUGUUUUUUCUCAAUAAGGUUGCAUCCUGAAGAUUGUAAAAAAUUUGCCUUCAC